AACGAACGCUGGCGGCAGGCCUAACACAUGCAAGUCGAGCGCGCCUUCGGGUGAGCGGCGGACGGGUUAGUAACGCGUGAGAAUCUGCCCUCAGGAGGGGGACAACAGCUGGAAACGGCUGCUAAUACCCCAUAUGCCGCGAGGUGAAAUGAAUUUCGCCUGAGGAUGAGCUCGCGUCUGAUUAGCUAGUUGGUGUAGGUAAUGGCUCACCAAGGCAUCGAUCAGUAGCUGGUCUGAGAGGAUGAUCAGCCACACUGGGACUGAGACACGGCCCAGACUCCUACGGGAGGCAGCAGUGGGGAAUUUUCCGCAAUGGGCGAAAGCCUGACGGAGCAACGCCGCGUGAGGGAUGAAGGCCUCUGGGCUGUAAACCUCUUUUAUCAAGGAAGAAGAUCUGACGGUACUUGAUGAAUAAGCCACGGCUAAUUCCGUG
RNAcentral lists this ribosomal RNA (433 nucleotides) under uncultured bacterium. RNAcentral's name for it is "bacterial SSU rRNA". It matches the Rfam family "Bacterial small subunit ribosomal RNA", at positions 29 to 507 of the family's 1533-position model. The record is from RNAcentral.